AGAGUUUGAUCCUGGCUCAGGACGAACGCUGGCGGCGUGCCUAACACAUGCAAGUCGAACGGAGUGAAACCCUUCGGGAUUUCACUUAGUGGCGAACGGGUGAGUAACGCGUGAGGAACCUGCCUUUCAGUGGGGGACAACAGUUGGAAACGACUGCUAAUACCGCAUAAUGCUUUUGGAUCGCAUGAUUUAAAAGCCAAAGAUUUAUUGCUGAAAGAUGGCCUCGCGUCUGAUUAGCUAGUUGGUGGGGUAACGGCUCACCAAGGCGACGAUCAGUAGCCGGUCUGAGAGGAUGAACGGCCACAUUGGGACUGAGAUACGGCCCAGACUCCUACGGGAGGCAGCAGUGGGGAAUAUUGGGCAAUGGGGGAAACCCUGACCCAGCAACGCCGCGUGAAGGAAGAAGGCCUUCGGGUUGUAAACUUCUUUUACCAGGGACGAAAAAAGUGACGGUACCUGGAGAAAAAGCAACGGCUAACUACGUGCCAGCAGCCGCGGUAAUACGUAGGUGGCGAGCGUUGUCCGGAAUUAUUGGGCGUAAAGAGCAUGUAGGCGGUUUUUUAAGUCUGGAGUGAAAAUGCGGGGCUCAACCCCGUAUGGCUCUGGAUACUGGAAGACUUGAGUGCAGGAGAGGAAAGGGGAAUUCCCAGUGUAGCGGUGAAAUGCGUAGAUAUUGGGAGGAACACCAGUGGCGAAGGCGCCUUUCUGGACUGUGUCUGACGCUGAGAUGCGAAAGCCAGGGUAGCGAACGGGAUUAGAUACCCCGGUAGUCCUGGCCGUAAACGAUGGGUACUAGGUGUAGGAGGUAUCGACCCCUUCUGUGCCGGAGUUAACGCAAUAAGUACCCCGCCUGGGGAGUACGUCCGCAAGGAUGAAACUCAAAGGAAUUGACGGGGGCCGCACAAGCAGUGGAUUAUGUGGUUUAAUUAGAAGCAACGCGAAGAACCUUACCAGGGCUUGACAUCCAACUAACGAAGUAGAGAUACAUUAGGUGCCCUUCGGGGAAAGUUGAGACAGGUGGUGCAUGGUUGUCGUCAGCUCGUGUCGUGAGAUGUUGGGUUAAGUCCCGCAACGAGCGCAACCCUUAUUGUUAGUUGCUACGCAAGAGCACUCUAGCGAGACUGCCGUUGACAAAACGGAGGAAGGUGGGGACGACGUCAAAUCAUCAUGCCCCUUAUGUCGUGGGCUACACACGUAAUACAAUGGCGCACACAGAGGGAAGCAAAACCGCGAGGUGGAGCAAAUCCCUAAAAGGCGUCUCAGUUCGGAUUGCAGUCUGCAACUUGACUGCAUGAAGUCGGAAUUGCUAGUAAUCGCGGAUCAGCAUGCCGCGGUGAAUACGUUCCCGGCCCUUGCACUCACCGCCCGUCA
Molecule: ribosomal RNA, 1371 nt
Filed under: synthetic construct
Also listed under: 2 other names
Description: bacterial SSU rRNA
Rfam family: Bacterial small subunit ribosomal RNA
Source: RNAcentral